GAUGAACGCUAGCUACAGGCUUAACACAUGCAAGUCGCGGGGCAUCGCGAGGAGUAGCAAUACUCUUUGGCGGCGACCGGCGGAUGGGUGAGUAACGCGUAUCCAACCUGGCCCUAUCUCGGGCACAGCCCCUCGAAAGAGGGAUUAAUUCCCGAUGUUCCCGUUAGUUCGCAUGUUCUUUCGGGCAAAGGUAUUUAUCGGAUAGGGAUGGGGAUGCGUUCCAUUAGGCAGUCGGCGGGGUAACGGCCCACCGAGCCAUCGAUGGAUAGGGGUUCUGAGAGGAAGGCCCCCCACACUGGGACUGAGACACGGCCCAGACUCC
Molecule: ribosomal RNA, 322 nt
Filed under: uncultured Bacteroides sp.
Lineage: Bacteria; Pseudomonadati; Bacteroidota; Bacteroidia; Bacteroidales; Bacteroidaceae
Description: bacterial SSU rRNA
Rfam family: Bacterial small subunit ribosomal RNA
Source: RNAcentral